Molecule: ribosomal RNA, 429 nt
Filed under: uncultured Bacteroidota bacterium
Lineage: Bacteria; Pseudomonadati; Bacteroidota
Description: bacterial SSU rRNA
Rfam family: Bacterial small subunit ribosomal RNA
Source: RNAcentral
CCGGAAUUAUUGGGUUUAAAGGGUGCGCAGGCGGGCUAAUCAGUCAGGGGUGAAAUUCCACGGCUCAACUGUGGGUGUGCCUUUGAUACUGUUAGUCUUGAAUUUAGUUGAAGUGGGCGGAAUGUAGCAUGUAGCGGUGAAAUGCAUAGAUAUGCUACAGAACACCGAUAGCGAAGGCAGCUCACUAAGUUAAUAUUGACGCUCAUGCACGAAAGCGUGGGGAUCAAACAGGAUUAGAUACCCUGGUAGUCCACGCUGUAAACGAUGAUCACUCGUUGCUGGCGAUAUACCGUUCAGUGGCUAAGCGAAAGUGAUAAGUGAUCCACCUGGGGAGUACGAUCGCAAGGUUGAAACUCAAAGGAAUUGACGGGGGCCCGCACAAGCGGUGGAGCAUGUGGUUUAAUUCGAUGAUACGCGAGGAACCUUACC